GGGGUUAUAGUUUAAGGGGUAAAAUGGUUGGUUGUCAUCUGACUAAUAUGGGUUCGAGUCCUGUUAAUCUCG
This 72-nucleotide transfer RNA is filed under the name Tethya sp. XMU02001079. RNAcentral describes it as "tRNA-Asp". It matches the Rfam family "tRNA". From Rfam's summary of the family: Transfer RNA (tRNA) molecules are approximately 80 nucleotides in length. Their secondary structure includes four short double-helical elements and three loops (D, anti-codon, and T loops). Further hydrogen bonds mediate the characteristic L-shaped molecular structure. tRNAs have two regions of fundamental functional importance: the anti-codon, which is responsible for specific mRNA codon recognition, and the 3' end, to which the tRNAs corresponding amino acid is attached (by aminoacyl-tRNA synthetases). tRNAs cope with the degeneracy of the genetic code in two manners: having more than one tRNA (with a specific anti-codon) for a particular amino acid; and 'wobble' base-pairing, i.e. permitting non-standard base-pairing at the 3rd anti-codon position. Lineage: Eukaryota; Metazoa; Porifera; Demospongiae; Tethyida; Tethyidae. The record is from RNAcentral.